This 796-nucleotide unclassified non-coding RNA is filed under the name Saccharomyces x bayanus. RNAcentral's name for it is "Saccharomyces bayanus genomic DNA containing ITS1, 5.8S rRNA gene and ITS2". The stretch from base 357 to 510 matches the Rfam family "5.8S ribosomal RNA". The record is from RNAcentral. Lineage: Eukaryota; Fungi; Ascomycota; Saccharomycetes; Saccharomycetales; Saccharomycetaceae.
AAUUUAAUAAUUUUGAUAUUGGAUUUUUUUGUUUUGGCAAGAGCGUGAGAGCUUUUACUGGGCAAGAAGACAAGAGAUGGAGAGUCCAGCCGGGCCUGCGCUUAAGUGCGCGGUCUUGCUAGGCUUGCAAGUUUCUUUCUUGCUAUUCCAAACAGUGAGACUUCUCUGUUUUUGUUAUAGGACAAUUAAAACCGUUUCAAUACAACACACUGUGGAGUUUUUAUACUUUUGCAACUUUUUCUUUGGGUUUCGAGCAAUCGAGCCCAGAGGUAACAAACACAAACAAUUUUAUUUAUUCAUUAAAUUUUUGUCAAAAACAAGAAUUUUCGUAACUGGAAAUUUUAAAAAUAAUUAAAAACUUUCAACAACGGAUCUCUUGGUUCUCGCAUCGAUGAAGAACGCAGCGAAAUGCGAUACGUAAUGUGAAUUGCAGAAUUCCGUGAAUCAUCGAAUCUUUGAACGCACAUUGCGCCCCUUGGUAUUCCAGGGGGCAUGCCUGUUUGAGCGUCAUUUCCUUCUCAAACAUUCUGUUUGGUAGUGAGUGAUACUCUCUGGAGUUAACUUGAAAUUGCUGGCCUUUUCAUUGGAUGUUUUUUUUCCAAAGAGAGGUUUCUCUGCGUGCUUGAGGUAUAAUGCAAGUACGGUCGUUUUAGGUUUUACCAACUGCGGCUAAUCUUUUUUGUACUGAGCGUAUUGAAACGUUAUCGAUAAGAAGAGAGCGUCUAGGCGAACAAUGUUCUUAAAGUUUGACCUCAAAUCAGGUAGGAGUACCCGCUGAACUUAAGCAUAUCAAUAA